This 208-nucleotide ribosomal RNA is filed under the name uncultured bacterium. Its description in RNAcentral is "partial 16S ribosomal RNA". It matches the Rfam family "Bacterial small subunit ribosomal RNA", at positions 149 to 353 of the family's 1533-position model. The record is from RNAcentral.
GUUGGAAACGACUGCUAAUACCGCAUAAGACCACAGUACCGCAUGGUACAGUGAUCAAAGGAUUUAUUCGCUGAAGGAUGGCUUCGCGUCCGAUUAGGUAGUUGGUGAGGUAACGGCCCACCAAGCCUACGAUCGGUAGCCGGACUGAGAGGUUGAUCGGCCACAUUGGGACCGAGACACGGCCCAGACUCCUACGGGAGGCAGCAUG